CAAAGGCUUGGUCCUGACUUUACUCUCAACUCUAGCUGAACUUACACAUGCAAGUAUCCGCAUCCCCGUGAGAAUGCCCACAACCUCCUGCCCGGAGGCACGGAGCUGGUAUCAGGCACACCUUCAGCCCAUGACACCUUGCUUAGCCACACCCCCAAGGGAACCCAGCAGUGAUAGACAUUAAGCCAUGAGUGAAAACUCGACUUAGUAAAAGCUAAGAGGGCCGGUAAAACUCGUGCCAGCCACCGCGGUUAUACGAGAGGCCCAAGUUGACAGACUACGGCGUAAAGAGUGGUUAGGGGUAAUACAAACUAAAGUCAAACGCCUUCAAUGCUGUUAUACGCACCCGAAAGUAUGAGGACCAUCCACGAAAGUGACUUUACAAAUCCUGACUCCACGAAAACUAGGAAACAAACUGGGAUUAGAUACCCCACUAUGCCUAGCCCUAAAUAUUGACCAUUUACUUACACUUAACUCCGCCUGGGUAUUACGAACAUAAGUUUAAAACCCGAAGGACUUGGCGGUGCUUAACAUCCACCUAGAGGAGCCUGUUCUAGAACCGAUAACCCCCGUUAAACCUCACCCUCUCUUGUUUAUCCCGCCUAUAUACCACCGUCGUCAGCUUACCCUGUGAAGGGUACAUAGUAAGCAAAAAUGGCAUAGCCUAAAACGUCAGGUCGAGGUGUAGUGCAUGUGAGGGGAAGAAAUGGGCUACAUUCGCUAACUAUAGCGAACUACGAAUGUUGUACUGAAAUACACAGCUAAAGGAGGAUUUAGCAGUAAGCAGGAAAUAGAGCGUCCUGCUGAAGCCGGCUCUUAAGCGCGCACACACCGCCCGUCACCCUCUCCAAGCUUAGAACUAAACCUAACUAAAACAUUCCCGCUGCAAAGGAGAGGAAAGUCGUAACAUGGUAAGCGUACCGGAAGGUGCGCUUGGUAAAU
This 942-nucleotide non-coding RNA is filed under the name Neoachiropsetta milfordi. RNAcentral's name for it is "12S rRNA". It matches the Rfam family "Bacterial small subunit ribosomal RNA". The record is from RNAcentral. Lineage: Eukaryota; Metazoa; Chordata; Actinopteri; Pleuronectiformes; Rhombosoleidae.